UACGGAGGAUCCAAGCGUUAUCCGGAAUCAUUGGGUUUAAAGGGUCCGUAGGCGGUCUAGUAAGUCAGUGGUGAAAGCCCAUCGCUUAACGAUGGAACGGCCAUUGAUACUGUUAGACUUGAAUUACUGGGAAGUAACUAGAAUAUGUAGUGUAGCGGUGAAAUGCUUAGAUAUUACAUGGAAUACCAAUUGCGAAGGCAGGUUACUACCAGUGGAUUGACGCUGAUGGACGAAAGCGUGGGGAGCGAACAGG
Molecule: ribosomal RNA, 253 nt
Filed under: uncultured bacterium
Lineage: Bacteria
Description: partial 16S ribosomal RNA
Rfam family: Bacterial small subunit ribosomal RNA
Source: RNAcentral